GGAGGGUAUAGCUCAGUGGUAGAGUGUGUGCUUCGCGUGCAAGAGGUCCUGGGUUCAAUCCCCAGUUACCUCCA
Non-coding RNA from Camelus dromedarius (Arabian camel), 74 nucleotides. The record is from the annotation of a RefSeq genome assembly. NCBI's taxonomy places the organism in Eukaryota, Metazoa, Chordata, Mammalia, Artiodactyla, Camelidae.